This 308-nucleotide long non-coding RNA is filed under the name Populus tremula. Its description in RNAcentral is "long non-coding RNA (PTRE_LNC002226)". The record is from RNAcentral. Lineage: Eukaryota; Viridiplantae; Streptophyta; Magnoliopsida; Malpighiales; Salicaceae.
UGAGUUCUGAUUUUGACAGAGAGAGAGAGAGAGAGAGAGAGAUUGAAGCUAACCCACAAGAACAUAUCAAAAUGCCACGCUACCGUGAUGAAUGUAACGUGCAAGGAAAAAGAGGCUCGUCAAGCUCUCUAUAAUUGGCUGUGGCGGGUCUUGUCUCGGAGAACAGGGGGGUUCCGUAACAGAGUGCUAGUUAAAGGUGAAGAAAGUUCAUAAACUAAUGGAGACAAAGAGAGAGAAAGCAGCUUUUUCUUAGCAAGGAAGGAACGGGCCUGCUUUCCAAACGGUUUCUGUCUGAAUCUGCCAUGUCC